RNAcentral lists this ribosomal RNA (423 nucleotides) under uncultured bacterium. Its description in RNAcentral is "partial 16S ribosomal RNA". It matches the Rfam family "Bacterial small subunit ribosomal RNA", at positions 360 to 775 of the family's 1533-position model. The record is from RNAcentral.
AAUCUUCCACAAUGGGCGAAACCCUGAUGGAGCAACGCAGCGUGAGUGAAGAAGGUUUUCGGUUCGUAAAUCUCUGUUGUAAGGGAAGAACAAGUACGGUAGUAACUGGCUGUACCUUGCCGGUACCUCAUUAGAAAGCCACGGCUCAGUACGUGCCAGCUGCCGCGGUAAUACGUAGGUAGCAAGCGUUGUCCGGAAUUAUUGGGCGUAAAACGCGAACAGGUGGUUUCUUAAGUCUGAUGUGAAAGCCAACGGCUUAACCGUGGAGGGUCAUUGGAGACUGGGAGACGUGAGUACAGAAGAGGAUAGUGGAUUUCCAAAUGUAGCGGUGAAAUGCGUAGAGAUUUGGAGGAACACCAGUGGCGAAGGCGACUAUCUGGUCUGUAACUGACACUGAGGAGCGAAAGCGUAGGGAGCAAACAG